This 28-nucleotide unclassified non-coding RNA is filed under the name Mus musculus (house mouse). RNAcentral's name for it is "oocyte_clustered_small_RNA3339". Lineage: Eukaryota; Metazoa; Chordata; Mammalia; Rodentia; Muridae. The record is from RNAcentral.
UGUGGCAUCCGUGUCCAGGUCAGCUGGC